GGUGGCCAAAGGUGGGGUGGGCCACUCCCAAGAUCUCGAUGUUUUCUGUACCCAGGAAUACCCACCAAGAAGGUACCCACAGGCGCGCAUGUGAUCGCCCCUGAUGGAGCUCUUGGAAGCUUGGCUGCCUGAGGGUCUGCGCAGGGCCUGUUCUGGGAUGAGAAGGGUGAGCCCCAGCCUUCCCCAGGCCCUGUAGCGGUGCCUCAGCUCCAGACCCUCACCCCACCAAACCUCACGUAGCUAAGUUCUUUCCUGUCACGGCAUCUAAUGCUCUGCUUGGUUGGUUUUUGUUUGUUUUGCAUUGCUUGGGCCGGCGGGAUGUGCUCAUGACACCCUCCUGCAGCGCUGCCUAACCUUCACACCCGGAGUCUGCUCUGCCAUCCCCAGCCGCAGGUUACCACCUGGGAUUUCAGCUCUUCUGUGCCACUGUCGCCAUCCUUCUAGGCCCAAGCUGACUCUGUGGGGAGAGAAGUGCACCGCAGAGGUUAAAACACACGGUGGGUUCUGCUCCCUACACCACCUACCCAGGCAGGGGAAGUUGCUGAAGAUGAUUUCCCAUCCGGUUCUGCCUAACUCCAUCCCCUGCACAGGUCACUUGUGUGCUCAGGCCGCAUGUGGCCAGCAGCAGUCAGCAUUCCC
RNAcentral lists this long non-coding RNA (639 nucleotides) under Fukomys damarensis (Damara mole-rat). RNAcentral's name for it is "lncRNA (ENSFDAG00000033263.1)". Lineage: Eukaryota; Metazoa; Chordata; Mammalia; Rodentia; Bathyergidae. The record is from RNAcentral.